RNAcentral lists this long non-coding RNA (619 nucleotides) under Olea europaea subsp. europaea. Lineage: Eukaryota; Viridiplantae; Streptophyta; Magnoliopsida; Lamiales; Oleaceae. The record is from RNAcentral.
AUUACAGAAAAAAGUUGUCUAGUUCUUGAGAGAGAGAUGGGAAGCUUAAAUUAGCUUUAUCUUCUGUAUUCAAUUCUUUCAUUUCCAUCCUCUCAUCAAACUCUACAGCUUCAUUAUACCAUAACCGACAUCAUUAUGGAAUUAUUUAGAUUGGAGAAAAGCGUUUCAGUUCAAUUUAUAGUACAUGGAUUUUGCAAGUACUGCACUUGAGAAUAUUAUACCAGAGGAAGAAAGUAAAUUUCUUGUUGGAAAUCCAGUAAUGGCUUCCGAUAAAGGCAACAAUCACUCUACACAACUAGUCUUGGACAAAAACCAUCAGCAGCAAAAUCAUCAGAUGCAACAGCAGAUUAUUUAUGAUUAUCAGAGGCAGAAUAUGAUCAUAACAGUAAAGGUAAGUUACGUCUCUUAGGAAAAAAAAUUCAGAAAAUUGUGAGGUCAUUUGACCUUCAUAUGACUCCAUGUGGGUUCACCCCUGCCUCCAUGUGAGAUUUCUGUAUUAAUUCUGUAAAUUUUAUUUUUGUACAAAUGGAAUAAUAGAGAUUAUUAUCAAGUAUAAAAAGUGUUAACUAAUGAAAAGUUUGAAGAUAAAAAUGAUAGAAAAGAUCAUUAGAAACAUAAG